Molecule: long non-coding RNA, 552 nt
Organism: Syzygium oleosum
Lineage: Eukaryota; Viridiplantae; Streptophyta; Magnoliopsida; Myrtales; Myrtaceae
Exons: 2
Source: RefSeq, a predicted model, not a curated record
AUCUAUCUCUGGCCGACUUUCAACGAUGGUUGCUACCCAAAAUCUGAGGUUGUGGCCCCCUCAAACCUGUCAAAGACAAUGAUGGUGGUCAUGGCUGAGUUUUGGUGGUGAUGUUUGUGCUGUUGCUGGUGGUGGCGGUGGUAGUAGAGUUCUAUGCAGCUGUUUGUGCAAGUGGUAUCCGCCGCAGCGGCUAUAGCUUUGUCUAAUACUCUAGUGGUGCUUGUGCUAGUGAUGGUGGCCGUUUUGAGUCCAUGGUGAUGGUGUUUUACGGUAGCAAUGAGUGGUGGUGAAGGUGCAUCGUGGUGGGGGAAGUAGCACUGGUUUUGUUUAUGUUACUGGAAGAUGUGUGUCUGUGCGUAGAGAGUGACGUCAGUUAGUGCGGUUAAGACUGAACAUGACAUUGGUCAAUUUUAGAAAGUUCAGGUACUUGAUUAAAUAAAGAAAAAAAAGUUGAGGUAGCACAUUGAAUUUCGGGCAAAAUUUUGAGCCCUUGUGGUUUCAUUACCCAAAUAUGUAGAUGAGAUAACUGAAAUAUAAAAGUUGGAAUGGCAA